Molecule: ribosomal RNA, 474 nt
Filed under: uncultured bacterium
Lineage: Bacteria
Description: bacterial SSU rRNA
Rfam family: Bacterial small subunit ribosomal RNA
Source: RNAcentral
GGGGACCCGCAAGCGGUGGAUGAUGUGGAUUAAUUCGAUGCAACGCGAAAAACCUUACCUACCCUUGACAUGUACGGAAGGCCGAAGAGAUUUGGCUGUGCUCGAAAGAGAGCCGUAACACAGGUGCUGCAUGGCUGUCGUCAGCUCGUGUCGUGAGAUGUUGGGUUAAGUCCCGCAACGAGCGCAACCCUUGUCAUUAGUUGCUACAUUUAGUUGAGCACUCUAAUGAGACUGCCGGUGACAAACCGGAGGAAGGUGGGGAUGACGUCAAGUCCUCAUGGCCCUUAUGGGUAGGGCUUCACACGUCAUACAAUGGUACAUACAGAGGGCCGCCAACCCGCGAGGGGGAGCUAAUCCCAGAAAGUGUAUCGUAGUCCGGAUCGCAGUCUGCAACUCGACUGCGUGAAGUUGGAAUCGCUAGUAAUCGCGGAUCAGCAUGUCGCGGUGAAUACGUUCCCGGGUCUUGUACACACC